UUGGAGGGCAAGUCUGGUGCCAGCAGCCGCGGUAAUUCCAGCUCCAAUAGCGUAUAUUAAAGUUGUUGCAGUUAAAAAGCUCGUAGUUGAACUUCAGGCCUGGCUGGACGGUCCGCCUUCCGGGCGAGUACUGUCUGCGGUCGGGUCCUACCUUCUGGCGAAGCGUCAUGGCCUUAACCGGCCGUGGCGGGGAACCAGGACUUUUACUGUGAAAAAAUUAGAGUGUUCAAAGCAGGCAAUUUCGCUUGGAUACAUUAGCAUGGAAUAAUGAAAUAGGACGUUCGAUCCUAUUUUGUUGGUUUCUAGGAUUGACGUAAUGAUUAAUAGGGAUAGUUGGGGGCAUUAGUAUUCAAUUGUCAGAGGUGAAAUUCUUGGAUUUAUUGAAGACUAACUACUGCGAAAGCAUUUGCCAAGGAUGUUUUCAUUAAUCAAGAACGAAAGUUAGGGGAUCGAAGACGAUCAGAUACCGUCGUAGUCUUAACCGUAAACUAUGCCGACUAGGGAUCGGAUGAUGUUAAUUUUUUAAUGACUCAUUCGGCGCCUUACGGGAAAC
RNAcentral lists this ribosomal RNA (553 nucleotides) under uncultured Paraglomeraceae. Its description in RNAcentral is "bacterial SSU rRNA". It matches the Rfam family "Eukaryotic small subunit ribosomal RNA", at positions 548 to 1098 of the family's 1831-position model. Lineage: Eukaryota; Fungi; Glomeromycota; Glomeromycetes; Paraglomerales. The record is from RNAcentral.